Long non-coding RNA from Etheostoma spectabile (orangethroat darter), 589 nucleotides. RefSeq lists it as uncharacterized. The transcript is spliced from 3 exons. NCBI's taxonomy places the organism in Eukaryota, Metazoa, Chordata, Actinopteri, Perciformes, Percidae. The record is from RefSeq and is a predicted model, not a curated record.
GACUGCGUGACCAUGGAGUGACCGGACACUAUCGUCCUGAAGGCUCCCAGGAGCUGUCAAUCAAACCGGCAGAGCAACAAGUCCCUCCCACAAACGGCACAGAGGUUCACCUUCAGACAGGUGUUCGAGCCCGAGGCCAGUCAGAGGAAGGUGUUUGAUGGGUCGGUGCGGGAUUUGGUCCGGGACGUCCGGGGGAGGCGGAACUGUCUGGUCUUCACAUACGGAGUCACCAACGCUGGAAAGACCUUCACCUUCCUCGGUCCGGACCACGACACGGGGAUGCUGCCGCGGUCUCUGGCGCUGAUUUUUAACAGCAUUGAGGGCCGUCUGUACGCCCACGGAGACCUGAAGCCGCAGGGCUGCCGAGACUACACCCGGCUGACCCCAGACCAUCUGGCUGCCGAGACUACACCCGGCUGACCCCAGACCAUCUGGCUGCCGAGACUACACCCGGCUGACCCCAGACCAUCUGGCAGCCGAGGCCCGCAGCAAGAGGACCCUACUGGGGCUGCUCAAAGAGGUCAGACAAACAGCUGGACACAAUUUCUCGCAGUACAGGGACACAUCUGGACAUAAGGUCUCACAGGAC